CAGCCGCCACGGGAAUACGGAGGGAGCUAGCGUUGUUCGGAAUUACUGGGCGUAAAGCGCGCGUAGGCGGUUACUCAAGUCAGAGGUGAAAGCCCGGGGCUCAACCCCGGAACUGCCUUUGAAACUAGGUGACUAGAAUCUUGGAGAGGUCAGUGGAAUUCCGAGUGUAGAGGUGAAAUUCGUAGAUAUUCGGAAGAACACCAGUGGCGAAGGCGACUGACUGGACAAGUAUUGACGCUGAGGUGCGAAAGCGUGGGGAGCAAACAGGAUUAGAUACCCGUGUAGUCCCUGUCUCUUAUAA
Molecule: ribosomal RNA, 301 nt
Filed under: uncultured bacterium
Lineage: Bacteria
Description: partial 16S ribosomal RNA
Rfam family: Bacterial small subunit ribosomal RNA
Source: RNAcentral